AACGAUAUUGGUUGACUCGAU
RNAcentral lists this microRNA (21 nucleotides) under Apis mellifera (honey bee). RNAcentral describes it as "ame-miR-3799 (Mir3799)". The record is from RNAcentral. Lineage: Eukaryota; Metazoa; Arthropoda; Insecta; Hymenoptera; Apidae.